AAUCUAAAGAUAAACCUAAUCACUUCAAACGUAAGGUGAGAAAAUCACAGAAAAUAGGAAACCUAAUCCUCUCAUUUUAUCGUUCUUUUCAUAACAGUUCCACUUUGAUCCUCUCGACCGUGGUUGGGUUAUUAGAUUCGAGUCCUGAUGAUUUCGAGAUCGGGUUUCAUCUGAGAUUUCUGUUUCUAUCUAUCUGGCUUGAGAGGACAAACGAUUUUUAUGGGGAAACCGAAAAUAAACCUAUCCAACAGACAACUACAUCGGAUUGAGUUAAUGUUGCAUAGCGGAAGUCUUGCGACGAUCUUUCCACUCUUUGUCACCUUGCAUUGCUUCUGAUUGUCUAGGCCUGAGUAAUUUUCUAGGGAAAGCUUGUCUUUGAUGUUUCGGUUUGGUAUGAUUGAUCAAUCCUUGAACACUGCUAAUAUAAGGUGCAGCUCCAUCUCCUACACUUAGCAGCCAUUCCGCAAAGCUUUCUUGUGAUUCAUCAACUCUCAUGUUCUGUUUGAGAUCGAAGACGUUGCAGAAGUCCCACAAGUGUGACUGUUUUAUUGAUGCUAAAACUGCAUCAGCUCUAGAACCUUGUGGAAUUAUCGGUAGCGUUUGCCUGAAGUCUCCACCUAAUAGUACAGUUUUGCCUCCAAAAGGUUGGUCUUUAACUUUUGGAUCUUUAAUGGACAUCAAAUCUCGCAGUGUUCUGUCAAGGGCUUCAAAUGCAUGCCGAUUUGUCAUAGGUAAAAGCAAUGCUGCGAUGCCAGAGGAAGCAACUGGGAGCACAAUUUUUUUUUCUGAUCGCAACUUAGAAAUAAUGGUGUUGUAAAGGCUUACGUUGAUGAAUGUGGAAGGAAAAAGUCCUCCACGUGGCUUCACAAGCAGAUACAUAUCGGCAUUCAAGGUACUCUUGUAUCUCAUCUCUUGGUCUUUUCGUUGAUACACUAUCUUGUGUGUGUUUUGAAGCCUCGGGACCUUUUUCUAUCACAAUGGUAGCUUUGUCGACUCCUUUUGUAAUGUAUUUGAAAAGAUACUUGACAGCAUUUGUUCUGUUGCACCACUCCAUGUUUAUAUGAGCUUGAUAUUUUUUUAAAAUAGCUAAAUUGUGUGGAACAACAUAGCGAUUAUCCAACUUUGUUUUUCCUUUGAUCACAAAGUUACCUUCAUCUUGCCGUCGCCGGUAAAUUAUAUAGCCAGAUUUGUCGAUUGAGGUUUGAUCAGUAUAUUGCCUUGGGUACGUAUCUUUUUGAACAUUCUUUAUUUCUCAUGCAAGGAGAUUUUGGUCGAUUCAAUCCACAUGGGCCGUGCAUCAUGUGUUUCUCCACAAGCUCAAACCCUUGUUGGUCAUUCUCUUUAUGCGGUAGUUCGGCAGAGAUUAUUGCGUCAACUUCAUUUGUUGUUGGAAUUCUUGAUGCACCAUCCAACCAAAUGAGCAUAUGUGCAUGUGGCAAUCCUCGUUUUUGAAAUUCGAUGGUGUGCAGCACUGUAAAAAAAAACAUGUCUAUCAUUUCCGGAUCCACCACCACAUGCCUCCAGAUGGUCAUUUAUCUCUUUCCAAUUUGGAUUGGCUGUCAUAGUAAUGAACAAAUCUGGAUUUCCGUAUGUUCGACAUAUUGCCAUUGCGUCAUGAUACUUUUCGAUCAUGUAUCUAGGGCUUCCAGUAAAACUUGAAGGUAGAAUCACUCUUUUCCCAUGUACUCUUGCUUCAGUAUCACCUUUACAAACUGCAUCACACACAUUGUUGUACAAAUCCGCUCUUAGCUGCUCUUGAUUGUUUUUGUUCCACCUUAGUCUUUCCGCUUCGAUAGCUGUGUAUGCAUCAACUACAUAUUGAUGUAAUAAACGUCC
Brassica oleracea var. oleracea is the source of this 1836-nucleotide long non-coding RNA. RefSeq lists it as uncharacterized. NCBI's taxonomy places the organism in Eukaryota, Viridiplantae, Streptophyta, Magnoliopsida, Brassicales, Brassicaceae. The transcript has 6 exons. The record is from RefSeq and is a predicted model, not a curated record.